GGCGGGCUCCGCCGCGGCCCCCGCUCCCUCACAUGGCGGAGGGAACCACGGCACGCCGCCCCGCUCCGGGCCCCGCAGCGGGAGGGAGGAGCGCGGGUGGCGGUGCGGAAACUUCGUCGGGGUGAGGGCGCCGGGCGCCGUGCGAAGCCGGAGGGGACCGCGGGUGGCGGCGGGGCCGGCGGGUUCAGCCUGGCCAAGGCUGUCUGCAUCGAUCGGCUCCGCUUUGGUUAGCGCGCUCCUUUAGCCCCCACUUAGCAGCGAGCCGGUGCGUGGUACGCGAGUUGGAAAACGUAUUUGUGCUUUCGGAUGGCUGACAGGUGCUUCUGUGCUGAAAUACCUUGGCGUUUUUCUGUUACACACAAAGUGGGCAAAGCAGGCGGCUUUAGCAGCGAUGGCUGAAGAGCACGUAGUCAGAGUGGCGGGACAGAAAGGCAGAAGAAAAACCCGAGGGAGAUCUUUGCGUGUGGUGCUUUCCGUCUGCAACUGCGCAGGGGCUGGGAGCCCAGUAAGGUUACUUACACGUUUGCUUAUUUGUUUAAUGCUAACCUGCGUUAGAUGCUAUCCCAGAAUAAUCUGCAGUGGGUUUUGCCUUGCAGAUUUCCCGGUGCAGUCCCAGCUGCACCAGCCCCAGUGCUGCGAUGGAUCUUCAGCAGCCCACUGUGCUCAGCUCAAGGCUGGGCUGCGUUGCCCAAAGCACUUCAAAGUUCUAGACUAGCCUAUGCAGGGUCUACCUACCCUCAAGCUGAUUGACGCUUCCUCUCAACUUGGUGUCACCUGCAAACAUACUGAGGAUUUUCCCCAGUGUCCCCUGUCUUCAGUGAGAUGAGAGAGAAAAGAAGAAGCACCUCUGUGAACCUGUGGAGUUUCUGUAUUCAGGAAACCCCGUGCAAUAUUCAGCUGUCAAAGGCUACAGAGCGCACACUGCUCCAGUUCUUCCUUUCUUCCUUGCUCUCAUGUCUCCAGCUGACUGCAGGUGGCUCAGCACCACAGUCAUUUGCUCACUUUUUACAACGAUGGAUAUGUAUGCUUGUAUCUGAAGUAAGCAUUUUAAAGAGAUAUUUUUCUCAUUCAAACAGUUGUGUUGACAUUAAUUGUGUACAGUAAGGCUAGCUAAUGUACAGUUGGCAAUUAUAAUCUUGUCUCUGAAGACAAGCCCUUAAAAAUAAAGAACCGGUAUCUUACGCAGCUUUUGUAUCAUCAAACAUGCUUGGUAUUACAGUGGAAGUUUUUCUUCUUUUUUUCCUUUUCAUGUUCAUUCAAUAAAUGAAUAUUGCAAAAUCAGAUAUUAAAAAAUAAAGGGAUUCAUAGUAAUGUGUGAAAAAGCCUGCAUUUCUCUCCAUGGUUUAUAGAAUUAGAAUAUAACCCCCCGACAGCUGAUCCUGUAAUAUAAUGGUUUUCAGACUCAGAGAACAGUCAUGCCUCCAAAACUCUCUGAGUAUACACCCCUAGAUAGAGAAGUUUUAGUGAGAUAUUUCCAAGAAUACGUAUUCAAACUUUUCCUAUUCUUUGCCCUUCCUUUGUUUUACUGUUACCUUGCAGUUUGUAGCAAAUGAAAUUUUUGCAAUGACACAUAGUAGGUAUAAAUAAUGCAUUAUUCUGUUGCCCUCUUUACUUUUGAACCUGUUGGCCAGGCUCAACCAAGCUUGGCAAAGAAACUGAGUCCUUGAAGCUUCACAAAAAUAGGUGGCUUGGUAGAGAAUAGCAGCAUUGUACUGGCUGUCCCUGAAGAUGUGCUCUGACCUCGUCCCUUACUGCACACCAGCAGCUCUGAAUGAGACAGCACCUGCUUUAAUACCCAUUUCACAAUUGACACAAUCAGAGCUUACACACUCAUGAACACUGGAACUAACUGAUUUAAAGGCAUCAAUCUGUAAGAAAAUGCUGCUAAUUCUGAUGUUCAACCCCUCUGCUUUCCUUUCAUUACCCUUCUGUACAUUGUUACAGAAUUAUCCCUUAACAAAUCCUUCUGAUAAAGUACUGGGUCAGCAAUGGAUUAUUUUGUUUUUCAUUUUUUUUAAAUUAAAGGCUUUUAAAUUAAUUCAUAUAUGUUUGAUAAUAUCAUGGUUUAAAAAACUGGAGAAAUUACAAUUUGCGGCAUAUUGAAAGUUUCAUGAAUUGCACAUUCCCAAGUGUUCUGUCUUUAGAUCUAAUUACUGGAGAUGAUUACAUUCAGGAAGUUCUGCAAUCACAGAGGGUGGUGAUACAGUUUUCUGUCUGCCUUUAAUGAAAAAAGUUAUAUAGCUCAGAAAUUAUGAUUUAGAUUAUGAGCUGUCAGAGCUGACCAAAAAAAAAAAAAAGAAAAAAAGCAAGAUUGUGCAGUGUUUGAGUUAAUACUUGAGUUGUGAAACAGACAGAUGAAAUAAUUGUUUUUUCUUUUGGUACAUGUAGGGUCUAGAGACCCCAAAUAAACUGGGCCCCCAACACGUAGGCACUGCGCAAACACUUAAUGAAUUACUGCGUAUCCCUAGAAUUGGACAUCUAGUGACUGGGAAAGAAGGGAAGGGAAAGCAGCAAUGAGUGGCCUGAAGUCUUACAGUGAGCAGGUCAGCAACUGAGCUGAGAAGAUAACUCAAAGCUCCUGGUUCUCUCUCUUCUUCCAUUAAGUACUUGUUUGCUAGUCUACAUUGCCUUUGUUCCUCAGUAAGAUACUAAGUCCACAGCUGAACAGCUGAUACAGUAGAUUCCUUUUAUGGGUACAAAACUGCAGGUGUUCAUUCAUGCAGAAACUUUGCACCUUGCUUAGUUGUCCUUGUCAUAUUUGAUGUCAUUAGAACAUGUACAGUAAACAAGGUGCUAAUGGUACCAGGUUGAACAUGAAAUAAACAGAUGUGUUAUGUCAUUUUGAUAAUAAAUGCAAGUUGGUCAUGCUGGCUUUGUUGGAAGAAGGUAACAGGAAACAAUGCAAUUUAUCUGGCUAUCGAUAGUAAUGCUUGAGAGUUGUUUCAGACUGCUCAGACUUCUUGUAUUAGGUUUCUACAAGAUAAAUAAAGAAGGAGACAAUUUAGGUUCUGGCAAAAUCUCCCCUGUGGUGCUGGUGACCAGUAGAUCAGGGAUUGAACAUUCCAUGCAGAACAAGAUCACUCCCUCCCCUGUGUGGGAAUACAAGAAAAACUAUUCAGAGCAGCAGCUGUGGAGCAAGAUGAACAGCACCCCUGCCUGAGCAUAUUUAAUCCCAUGGUUCUACCUUCCCAUUAAAAUAACCUAACCACUAUCCUACCAGUGAUUAAUUUGUUUCUGUUUGAUACACAUAACACAUUUUGCUGGAGAAGGAACUAUCACUUCAGUUGAAUCAGAACAUCUCCAGUGGGAAGAACUAAGCAAACCACACCUCACGCAACCCUACAGCUCAAUUCAGAGCUUAGAAACAAAUAGGAUUUAAGCCAUGUUUUCUUCUAAUAGCUCUGUCAAACCUAACCCUAACUAGAAAGUAUUCCAUAAACACAAAUUUUCACAUGAACGGGGCCUUGUGCUCUACGAUUUCAGUCCCUACUUCUGCAAGCAUAUUUAACUUGUUUUCAGAAUGACUAUUGCAGACCAAGAACUGCCAAAAGCUCUAGCAAAAAAAGUAAAAAGUCAAGUCUCGCUUUAGGGGUAAAAUGGUUGUUGAAGACUUUUAAGGAUAUUAAACUGGAUAGGCCGUGUAUUGGUUUGGCUGAGCCAACCAGUCCUAACAGGGCUAUCUUCACAGGUCAUUAAACUCUUACCUUCUAAGGUUUUCAAAAUAUAAUCUUCCUUUCCCCAUUAGUAAAAUUAAAUGAGGUUUUAGCAAAAUUACUGACUCCUCAAGCAGAUUCAGACUGCUGAACAAAUGCAGUAAUUUCAUAAAUAGCUGUACCUCGGAGUCUUCCUAAGAACAGCAGCAGUGGAGGAAAAGAACAGUCAGAUCAAUUCAUCUGGUGGCUGUAAGGCUCAGGAAGCCUUUCCACAGUCCAUGCUAGCCAAGCAAGUAGCUAUGACAGCAGGGAGCCAGUUUGUCAAAGGACCUCAGCCUACUGGGCACCAAACUGCUCUGAAAAACAACGGCAGUUAGUGUCACAGCGGAGACAUGAACAUUCAGGACUUUGGAAAAUGUAGCCCUUACCAUACCCUAAAAGCACUGCCUAGCUCUUUUCCUUGCUUCCUAGCCACAGUUCUGUCCCCAUCCCUAUUUUCUGCAAAAUAGCAGUCAGCUGUGGAAGCAAUCUAGGUGUUGACAUUUGAAAUGAGCUUUUUUUUCUGCUAGCUGUUUGAUUUCUGAAACUUAAGUAAUUAGAGUUCUUUUUCCUCAUGUCAUUUUUUUGCCUUUUUAUUACAAGACUGAACUAUGCUUAAAUUCCUUUCUCAUGACAGAUUCAAGAACAGAUCUUUAUUUGCACGUACACAAUUUUCAUGGAUUACUGGGAUGAAUCCUAGAGCUUUCAUACAAUAAAAUUGGUUUUGUUUCAUGUUGCUAACUUCUACAUAAGAAUCAGUCAAAGAAUUAGGAACCGGUUAUUCCCUAUAGCUAAAGCUACCAUAGCAUUCUCUCUUUUAUGGCUGAUAUCCUGUUGGGGUUUCAUUUUCCCCUGUAUAUGUUGGAAAUCAAUCAAUUCCAAUCGCUUUUUUCUUUCUUUCUUUCCUUCUUUCUUUCUUUAAAAUUAAGGAGACUAACAUUUUAUAUGAGUUGUAGCCGCAGUGUUAGAUGUCUUACUUUCACUCCAUCAAACACUAGCUGAGGCCUUUAGAGAGAUCCUCACAUGCAACCUGCAACCACCCUAAGCAGUCACAUUUCUCUCUGUAAAUUAAAUUUCUUUUAAAAGUCUCAUUUUGUCCUCAGGCUGAAUUUCUGUUCCAGUAAAUUCUGAUCUGCAGAGGUAUCUACUUCCCAUUGAAAUUGAUCAGAGCUGUUGGUGACCAGAGCCUCUAUAGCUCAGGCCCUCUGGUUGCAUUUAUCUCGGAGUACAAAUGUUGUUAAUAUUAUGGCUAUCUUUGGGUAAAAGCCUAGCGAAAAACACUUCUGUGCUUUUCAAAGAAGCGACAUGGCUGAUUAUGGCACAGUCUCCCAAUGCUCUUUCUCAAAGACUUUUGCCUGGAGUUUAAUUUUUUAUUCCUAGUAAAGCAUGUAAGUAAGGAAUAAGAAUAUGUAUAAGAAUAGACUCUCAGAAGUUUUGUACUUUUUCAAUUAAACAGAACUGAAUGAGAUAAAGGAAGAAAACGAAGCACUUUCUCCAGCGCUUUUUUUCCCCCUCAGUUGGGAUUAAUUUUUCUUUAGAAAAAUGGAGAAGUUUGUACGUGCUUUUGGAAGAAGAAAAUAUCAAGUGCACCUGAGGUUUUAAACAAACAGUUGCUGCUGUUUAACAAACCCAUGGUGAAUCAUAGAAGAAAAUCCCUGGAGCAGAGGCAGAACUCCAGUAGUAGUUCACUGGGUCUGUGCCUAGGCUCUCACUUUGGUACUAAGGGGAUUUCUCUGACAGGUUGAUUCAGGCUUUUGAUAGAAGCAAGAUUUAAUGAGAAUACAUUCACUGAUUCCUUUGCUGCCUUAGUGGUUGGUUUCCAGGUUUGGUGUUAAAUGUUGCUCUUCAGAGUCUGCAUUGCACAUACCACAACUGUAACUUAAUUUCUCCUUCCCGCCAUUGCACAUACCACAACUGUAACUUAAUUUCUCCUUCCCGCUGUGAUGCCAAGACUGCAUAAGAGAAAGCUACUUUGUUUUGAGGUGUACCCGGCAUAUUAUUGUGCCAGGAGUAGGGUUCAAAUUAAAAAUAACGUUUUGCCCUCAUGCUUUACACUGUACUGAGUUUAUGUGGCGAGGGUUUGACAGCGGGGUGCUGCGGGGGCGGCCUCUCUGCUCGCAGAGCCCCCCACUGCCCCAUGUCAGACCGACGCAGCUCCAGCUGCUCCUCACGGGACCUGCCGCUGCCACAGCUGCGCCGUGAGCGAUGCUCUCGCUGUUUGUGCCUCGGGGAGAGCGGAGCGAAGGAAGGGAAUCGCGGUGGAUGCGGCCUGAACGAGGCACAGCCCCAGGAGCGGCCCGGGCCAGAGCUGCAGCCCGUUGGAAGCACACGCAGAUCAUCUCGGGAAGGGCACUGUGGGAGGGAACCCCGUGGAGCUGGGAAAUGAUGGAAGGUGAGGAUGAGUGUCAUGGACUGAGCGCAGCUGCUCAGGGAGAGGAGACUGAAGAAGGUGGAUGUGGGAAGGUGUUUUUGGCCCGCUUUUACUUCUCACUGCUCUCUACUGUUAUCAGCAGACAAUAAACUCCAUUAAUAUUCCCUAA
Gallus gallus (chicken) is the source of this 6232-nucleotide long non-coding RNA. RefSeq lists it as uncharacterized. The record is from RefSeq and is a predicted model, not a curated record. NCBI's taxonomy places the organism in Eukaryota, Metazoa, Chordata, Aves, Galliformes, Phasianidae. The transcript is spliced from 4 exons.